RNAcentral lists this ribosomal RNA (425 nucleotides) under uncultured bacterium. RNAcentral describes it as "bacterial SSU rRNA". It matches the Rfam family "Bacterial small subunit ribosomal RNA", at positions 354 to 796 of the family's 1533-position model. The record is from RNAcentral.
GUUAGGAAUAUUGGACAAUGGACGCAAGUCUGAUCCAGCCAUGCCGCGUGAGCGAUGAAGGCCUUCGGGUUGUAAAGCUCUUUAGUCCACGAUUAUAAUGACUGUAGUGGAAGAAUAAGCCCCGGCUAACUUCGUGCCAGCAGCCGCGGUAAUACGAAGGGGGCGAGCGUUAUUCGGAAUCACUGGGCGUAAAGCGUGCGUAGGCUGUUUUGCAAGUUGGAAGUGAAAUCCCAGGGCUCAACCCUGGAAUUGCUUUCAAAACUGCAAGACUCGAAUUCGGGAGAGGAUAGCGGAAUUUCCAGUGUAGUAGUGAAAUACGUAGAUAUUGGAAGGAACACCAGUGGCGUAAGCGGCUAUCUGGACCGACAUUGACGCUGAGGCACGAAAGCGUGGGGAUCAAACAGGAUUAGAUACCCUAGUAGUCC